This 305-nucleotide ribosomal RNA is filed under the name uncultured bacterium. RNAcentral describes it as "bacterial SSU rRNA". It matches the Rfam family "Bacterial small subunit ribosomal RNA", at positions 337 to 635 of the family's 1533-position model. The record is from RNAcentral.
ACCUACGGGGGGCAGCAGUAGGGAAUUUUCGUCAAUGGGCGCAAGCCUGAACGAGCAAUGCCGCGUGAACGAGGAAGGUCUUCGGAUCGUAAAGUUCUGUUGAAGGGGAAAAAGAGCGGAGAGAGGAAAUGCUUUUUGAUUGAUAUUACCCUUCGAGGAAGUCACGGCUAACUACGUGCCAGCAGCCGCGGUAAUACGUAGGUGGCGAGCGUUAUCCGGAAUGAUUGGGCGUAAAGGGUGCGUAGGCGGCCUGCUAAGUCUGGAGUGAAAGGUACCGGCUCAACCGGUACAGGCUCUGGAAACUG